This 94-nucleotide ribosomal RNA is filed under the name uncultured bacterium. RNAcentral's name for it is "partial 16S ribosomal RNA". It matches the Rfam family "Bacterial small subunit ribosomal RNA", at positions 1379 to 1482 of the family's 1533-position model. The record is from RNAcentral.
CCUUGUACACACCGCCCGUCAAGUCAUGGAAGCCGGUAGUGCCCGAAGUCGCCGCGUCACUGCGGUGCCUACGGCAAGAUCGGUGACUGGGACU